GUGUGUUUGUGUUUACUGUCUGUUCUUCUGUUCACUGCUGUAAUAGUCAUCUGUGUCUAUUUCAACAAUGAGAGAAAACAACUACUAACACACAACUAUAACUUGACUAAAGAACGAGACCAGCUCAAAAACAAACUCAACGAUGCCUUAACAGAUUUCCCUUUCAGUACAUGGAUUCAAUACAACUUGAGUUUUUAUUACAUUUCAUCUGAUUAUAAGAGCUGGAGUGACAGCAGACGAGACUGUGAACAGAAAGGAGCAGAUCUGCUUAUAAUAAACAACAAAGAGGAAGAUGUGUUUUUGCGUAAUCGUACUGGUUAUAGCAUUUGGAUUGGUCUGAAAAAAGAACUGGAAGAGUGGAAAUGGGUUGAUGGGACCACACUGACAUCUGGCUACUGGAUAGAUGGAUAUCCCCAAAAUCCUGAUUGUGCAAUCAUGACUGCAUCUGGGUGGAUUAAUGAUCUCUGUAAUGAAGGAAAAUAUGGAUGGAUAUGUGAAAGGAAAAAUUGCUUAAAUCUCUCAUGAUAUGAUGAUGUUUAUUUAAAUAAACCAUGUAGGCAUGUUUGUUCAAUAUGGUAAUAAAUACAUUCUCUAAGGGGCAGUUUCCCAGACAGGACGUAAGCAUUUUUUUUAACUAAAAUGCAUGUCAAACUUAACUGAAAACAAAUUGUACUGACGUAUCUUAAAGUAUAUCACGGACAUUGUUUUGACUACUUAAAUGUCCUAAUAUAAGGCCUAAUCUAAAUCUUUUCCAGACAGGGUUUGGAUUAAUCCAGGACUAUGAUAUUUAAGUAGUUUUUACAAACAUACAUCAGAAAAAGACUUUACUGUGGCCGGUUGCAUAAACAUAGCCGUGACAUUAAGACUGCAUCUUAAGAAUGAUUCUGACUAACUAGCAAUUAGUUAGGGCUAAUCAGUCUUAUUAUUUGGAUUUAAAUUAGACCAAUCUACCUUUCUAUGUAACAUACUUAAAACGGUUAUGAUCAGUCUUGAAGAAAAAAAUUCAUGACUAACUUUAAAGACUAGUCUUAAAGUUUUAUGCGGCCACUGGUGUGCAUUUUGAGACAAAACAAUGUCAAUGAUAUAUGCUAAGAUAUUUCAGUUCAUAAAAAUUAAAGCCGCUACACAUGCAUUUUAGUCUGGGACUAGGAUAAACCUGGUCCGGGAAACUGCCCUAUGAGUUUAUAUUUUAAGUUUUGACCAUAAAUGUCACAUCCAUAACAGUGGAUCUGACCAUUUAAGGCCAGAGUAUUUUAAAUGUGUUUAUAAUUUUUAGCUUAACACCACACAACAGUAUAAUGAUUUGUAACAUAAUGUUGUUAGUGUCAUAGCUAUUAAGUUGGGCAAAAAUAGCUCUUGCAUUUCCUAGUGUAUGUGGUGAAGUUGCAAACUCUGAGCUCAUUGUGUUUUUUUUUUUUUUUUAUAAAAUGACAAUGAAAAGUGGAUAAACACAGAAAACAUUAAACUACUUUUAGAUUCAUGCUGAGUAUAUAUAUAUAUAUAUCUGUUUUUGCCAAAUAGGUUUGUGUUACUUUGAAUAAAUGUUGUUAUAAUUAACGCUUGUAUCACAUGAUCUCUAUAGCAGCUUUGUGAUCAGCCUCUGCAUAUUUAAGAUGAUUAUAAACUUAAUUAAUGAAUAUUAAUCAUAUGAUGUUACAUUCACACCGUGGUUCUUGCUAAGGGUAGAUAAAUAAACAUGUUUUCUGAAUAUAAACAGUGAGGAAAAUAAGUAUUUGAACACCCUGCUAUUUUGCAAGUUCUCCCACUUAGAAAUCAUGGAGGGGUCUGAAAUUGUCAUCGUAGUUGCAUGUCCACUGUGAGAGACAUAAUCUAAAAAAAUCCAGAAAUCACAAUGUAUGCUUUUUUUAACUAUUUAUUUGUAUGAUGCAGCUGAAAAUAAGUAUUUAAACACCUGAGCAAAUAAAUGUUAAUAUUUGGUACAGUAGUCUUUGUUUGCAAUUACAGAGAUCAAACGUUUCCUGUAUUUGUUUACCAGGUUUGCACACACUUUAGGAGGAAUUUUGGCCCACUCCUCCACACAGAUCUUCUCUAGAUCAGUCAGGUUGCUGGCCUGUCGCUGAGAAACACGGAGUUUGAGCUUCCUUUCAAAGAUUCCCUAUUGGGUUUAGGUCUGGAGACUGGCUAGGCCACGCCAGAACCUUGAUAUGCUUCGUAAAGAGCCACUCCUUGGUUAUUCAGGCCAUUUUCAUGUUGGUAGACCCAGCCUCGACCCAUCUUCAAUGCUCUAACUGA
Molecule: long non-coding RNA, 2253 nt
Organism: Paramisgurnus dabryanus
Lineage: Eukaryota; Metazoa; Chordata; Actinopteri; Cypriniformes; Cobitidae
Source: RefSeq, a predicted model, not a curated record